CUGGACAGGACCAUUAGAGUCGAGAUUUGCAUCAACGUUUUCCACCUCCCCUGUCGUGAUUUUUAGCACAUUAAGCAGAACCCAAGAAGGCGGGUUAUUCAGAGAUAAUUCUGCAGAUUCUUCAGCCUGGUUUGGAGCUUUAGUAUAAUCACCCCCCUCUUCUUCUGAACCAUCAAGAAUCAGCAAAGUGUUAAAAGCUGCAAUCUGCAGAAAGUUUCUGAGAAAAACACGAAACUUUUUUCGUACCUUGGAUUCCUGAUGUGUUUGUGUUCCCCAUCUCUGUUCUCAUCUUCAACUAUCCAAAUCCUGCAACAGAAAAAAGUAGAGUGGGUAAUGAUCAACACUGGGACUCCAAUCACACUCCGAUGCACCUCUAUAUAAAUGGGAAUCGAAAUCAUACCAUUAUGAUGAUUAUAGUCAUGUUCACAUGCUAAUCACCACAAACUAACACUGUAGAAGGCAGCUUGAAUUUAGGGGGAGAUUUGCAGAGGGGUUAAUAUUCGAUUGGUACGGGCAAUUCAAUAGUAACUCUUCGGGCAUAACACCCAAAAGGUAUGCCAAUAUAUACUCAACUAAACAAUGCUUAUAUGAUAAUGUAUGUUUUGCUGGUUUUU
This is a long non-coding RNA of Ipomoea nil (Japanese morning glory), 614 nucleotides long. RefSeq lists it as uncharacterized. The transcript is spliced from 2 exons. The record is from RefSeq and is a predicted model, not a curated record. NCBI's taxonomy places the organism in Eukaryota, Viridiplantae, Streptophyta, Magnoliopsida, Solanales, Convolvulaceae.